AAGAACUUAAGUUAAACCAAACUAUUGACCUUCAAAGUCAAAAAUAGAUUUAAAACUAGAUCUUA
RNAcentral lists this transfer RNA (65 nucleotides) under Scolytinae sp. BMNH 1043031. RNAcentral's name for it is "tRNA-Trp". Lineage: Eukaryota; Metazoa; Arthropoda; Insecta; Coleoptera; Curculionidae. The record is from RNAcentral.